RNAcentral lists this ribosomal RNA (254 nucleotides) under uncultured bacterium. RNAcentral's name for it is "partial 16S ribosomal RNA". It matches the Rfam family "Bacterial small subunit ribosomal RNA", at positions 524 to 776 of the family's 1533-position model. The record is from RNAcentral.
UACGGGGGGAGCAAGCGUUGUUCGGAUUUACUGGGCGUAAAGGGCGCGUAGGCGGCCACCGCAAGUCGACUGUGAAAUCUCCGGGCUUAACUCGGAAAGGUCAGCCGAUACUGCGGGGCUAGAGUGCAGAAGGGGCAACUGGAAUUCUCGGUGUAGCGGUGAAAUGCGUAGAUAUCGAGAGGAACACCUGCGGCGAAGGCGACUUCCUGGCCUGUUCUUGACGCUGAGGCGCGAAAGCUAGGGGAGCAAACGGG